AUUGAACGCUGGCGGCAGGCCUAACACAUGCAAGUCGAGCGGAUGAAGGGAGCUUGCUCUUGGAUUCAGCGGCGGACGGGUGAGUAAUGCCUAGGAAUCUGCCUGGUAGUGGGGGAUAACGUCCGGAAACGGGCGCUAAUACCGCAUACGUCCUGAGGGAGAAAGUGGGGGAUCUUCGGACCUCACGCUAUCAGAUGAGCCUAGGUCGGAUUAGCUAGUUGGUGGGGUAAAGGCCUACCAAGGCGACGAUCCGUAACUGGUCUGAGAGGAUGAUCAGUCACACUGGAACUGAGACACGGUCCAGACUCCUACGGGAGGCAGCAGUGGGGAAUUUUGGACAAUGGGCGAAAGCCUGAUCCAGCCAUGCCGCGUGUGUGAAGAAGGUCUUCGGAUUGUAAAGCACUUUAAGUUGGGAGGAAGGGCAGUAAGUUAAUACCUUGCGGUUUUGACGUUACCGACAGAAUAAGCACCGGCUAACUUCGUG
RNAcentral lists this ribosomal RNA (484 nucleotides) under uncultured bacterium. Its description in RNAcentral is "partial 16S ribosomal RNA". It matches the Rfam family "Bacterial small subunit ribosomal RNA", at positions 30 to 507 of the family's 1533-position model. The record is from RNAcentral.